This 98-nucleotide transfer RNA is filed under the name Lucilia cuprina (Australian sheep blowfly). Its description in RNAcentral is "tRNA-Tyr for anticodon GUA". It matches the Rfam family "tRNA". Rfam says of the family: Transfer RNA (tRNA) molecules are approximately 80 nucleotides in length. Lineage: Eukaryota; Metazoa; Arthropoda; Insecta; Diptera; Calliphoridae. The record is from Rfam by way of RNAcentral.
CCUUCGAUAGCUCAGUUGGUAGAGCGGUGGACUGUAGAGUUGUUUCAAAUGAAAUAUAAGAAAUCCAUAGGUCGCUGGUUCAAAUCCGGCUCGAAGGA